AAUAAGUGCAGUUUUGCACUAUUCACGUUCAACGUUUAACCGUUCGUCUUAUUUGAAAAAGAAUUAUGAUUUGUAUUUUUAUUGCUAUUGGAUGAUAAACAUGAAUAAUACUUUAUGUAUGACUAAAUAUUUUUAUAUUUUUUAUAAAUUUUUUAAAUAAGAAGGACGGGUAAAUAUUAUGUACGGAUAUCCACAGCUACGGCACGG
Molecule: non-coding RNA, 207 nt
Organism: Oryza meridionalis
Lineage: Eukaryota; Viridiplantae; Streptophyta; Magnoliopsida; Poales; Poaceae
Source: Rfam